AACGGUAACAGGAAAUAGCUUNGGCUAUUUUGCUGACGAGUGGGCGCACGGGUGAGUAAACUAUAGUUAAUNGUACCCCAAAGACUGGGAUAGCCACUGGAAACGGUGAUUAAUACUAGAUACACCUUCUUAUCACAAGGUAAGAAGGGAAAUGUCUUUUCGCUUUGGGAUCAGACUAUAUCCUAUCAGCUAGUUGGUGAGGUAAUGGCUCACCAAGGCAAUGACGGGUAGCGGUUCUGAGAGGAUGAUCCGCCACACUGGUACUGAGACACGGACCAGACUCCUACGGGAGGCAGCAGUGAGGAAUAUUGCACAAUGGGGGGAACCCUGAUGCAGCAACGCCGCGUGGAGGAUGACGCAUUUCGGUGUGUAAACUCCUUUUAUAUGUCAAGAAAAUGACGGUAGCAUAUGAAUAAGCACCGGCUAACUCCGUGCCA
This 437-nucleotide ribosomal RNA is filed under the name uncultured bacterium. Its description in RNAcentral is "bacterial SSU rRNA". It matches the Rfam family "Bacterial small subunit ribosomal RNA", at positions 65 to 510 of the family's 1533-position model. The record is from RNAcentral.